UAUGCCACCUUGGGCAGCUGUCAAAGGUUUUAAAGUCCCCUGGGGAGAGGUGGUGGGACUCAAUCCAUUUUGGGAAAAUGAGAAAUCACUGAGCCCCCGUUUUGGAGAAGGUUUGGAACCCUCUUUGCCUGAUGGGGCCUGUUGGAGGCCCCCUUGAUCAGAAGGGCCCUGUCUAAAACUCUUAGGGGGAGAACUGGAAUUAUUGGUGACCCCUUGGGUAGAGAAUGGACUUCUGAAACCCCUUCUGGAAGAGGAGACAUGUUUGAUUUUCCUUUCAGCACAAGUGGGAGGUCUCUGGGAUGCCUGGGCAGAUGUGGAGUGGCCCAUAACCUCUUGAGUGGAUACGGAUAGUUCCUGAGCAUUUUGGGAAGAAGCGGAAGAUCCCAGAGCUCCAUGGGUAGGUGGGGACGGUUGCAGAGACCCUUGAAUAUGUGGGGAAAUUACCGGUCCACGUUGGUCAGUGGGAGAGUCGGCAGAAGAUGGCCCAGGCACUGUGUGGUCUUUGAACUUUUCACUAGCAUCUCCAGCACAGUGUCCUGAAGAUGUUGCACUUACUCUGGUGCCCGACUGGUCAAUGUCCAUAGGUUCCUCAGACACAGCAGACAUAGCCAGGCUUCUUUUCACCUUCCCAGGUAUGGGCCCGGUGGCAGGCUGUAGGGCAGAUGGUCUGGGUUUCCUGCUCAGUGGGUUACUCCUGCACUCAGGAACCUCCCGCAAAAGUGGAACUUUUCCUCCCUUGUUCUCUUUCAGCUCCUUUAUGGGCUCCAGGGUCUUCUUACUGGAUGUACUCUUUAUAAGAGCCCUAAGAUUCCUUAGGCUAUCUGCAGUGUGUGAGUCGGGAACUUUGAAUGUUUUGUCCUCAUAGGGCUUUUGGCACCUGAACUUGGUCCGAGUCAGUCGAAUCACCCCCGGAGGUGCAAAGUCCCUUGGGUCUUUGAUGCUGGUCAAGUGCUUCCCCCAUUGGGGUGAGGUGUCAUCAUCCCUUUCGGGGACACUGAAGGGGGUCCCAGGCCGGGGAGGCUGGGAAAACCUCCGUCCAUGGUCAUCAGCCCUUUCGGGGACACUGAAGGGGGUCCCAGGCCGGGGAGGCUGGGAAAACCUCCGUCCAUGGUCAUCAGCCCUUUCGGGGACACUGAAGGGGGUCCCAGGCCGGGGAGGCCGGAAAAACUGCGGUUUAUGGUCAGAGGGUAACGUCCGGGCUGAGGCUUGCUGGCCUCUCUCCAUACAUCUGGCUAUUUAGCCAAUAAGGCAGUUGAACAAGAAAAAGGGAAAUGGGAAAUUGCCCCUCUCAAGGGACAGUGAAUAUACUUGCCAUUUGGUGACUCGUGGCAAGCGGCAGCUAAGCAGUAUCCUCUGAGAGAGGCUCUCCUUUCCUGAGAACUGCGGACAUGUCCCGAAGGGCGCACAGAAUUCUAGUGACAAUUGGUCUCAGGAACCCAGCAACGCUGGAAUGGGGCCCUUGGAAUGGCUGUCCUUGGGGCUGCACGGGCCAGUCCCGAGCUGCCUCACCUGGCCAUUCUGCAUUCAGUAGUAGGGCAAACAUCCAAGCUUUCUGAAUGAGGAGGGACGCUGAAGACCCUCUCCUCUUCCUUAGGGUCAAGAGUCCUAGCUAGUCUGGUGUCCACUGUCAGCGGCCAUGACAAGGACUGUUGAAGGGGCACCAUGAUUGGGAAAGGCAAGGGGUGCUGGGAAGAAUGUGCUCUGGGUUCUCUCUUGCACCAGGACGGUACUCGCUGUCAGGACGCCGUCGGUAUUGCGAUGAGGUCUGCUCGAGCCUCAUAACUGAAUGAGAAAGGGGGAUCCAGACCCUCGCUCCUCAGAGGCUGUGCGGGCCAGCCAAUCACUGUUUGUUGUGCUAGGGAAAGAACAAGUGAUUGCGUUUGAAUGGAGGAGAGGAUGCCUGGAAUUGAUAUUACAAAUGUUAUUCUGCAUUUUAAGGAUGGCCUAUCCUGGGAUUUUCUAGGACCUAUAAUGAAGAAAAGGAGCCUGUGAGGGAUUAUCUAGAUAAGGUUAGUCUCUGGGUGUGUCUGUCAGGGAUAUUUUGACUGGCUUAACUGAGUUAGGAAGACUCAACCUAAAUGUGGGAGUCAGCAUUUCAUGGCCUGGGGUCCUGGACUGAAUUAAAAAGGAAAAGGAGACCUGAAUAGCAACAUCCAUCUCCCUCUGCUUCCUGACUGUAGAGGCACAAUUACGAGCUGUCUAAAGCCCCUGUGGCCAUGGCUCCCUGCUGUGAUAGACUGUAUCCCAGAAUGGUGAGCCAAUACAAACCCUUCAUUUCUUUUGAUGCUGUGUCAGGGUAUUUUAUUACAGAAACCAGACAAGUAACCAGCACAGAUAACCUAUCUAAUGAUGAGAAUGAGGAAUUGAAAUCAAUGAUUAGUGUUGUAAGAGGACCUAAAGGACUUUUUCUUUAGUGUUUAUUAUGUGAAAUUGAGAGCCCCAAGAUUUGAUAUCUAUAUGUUUAUAAUAGUUACAUAUACUUGGUGGAUUAGUAAAAGUUCACUUUACUAAAAUUUAUCUACUGUCUUUACCUAUUCUCGCUAAUUUUGAUUUGAAGUCUACUCUAUCAUAUACCAAAAUAGCUGUGUCUGCUUGCUCUCCAUAUCCACUCAGUUGGUAGCUCGUCUUCUAUCCUUUCGGUCCUUGUCUAUAAGUGAUUACACCAGUGAGUUGUAUCUCUUUUACACAUUUAUUUAAAUUUUUUUCAUUUUACAUACCAACCCCAGUUCCCCCUCCCUCCUCUUCUCCUGUCCUCCCCACCUGUCCUGAUCCCACCUCCCAUCUAUUUCUUUGAGACAACAGGAUAGUUGAUUCUAGUUUCAAUUCCAUCAGCUAGUCUUCAUCUCUUUAUUGGUGAUUUAAAGUCAUUUAUAUUUAAAGUUAUUAUUAAGAGAUGUUUAAUAGUUCUUGUGAUUUUGUUGAUUUCUUUUUAGAUUUUUAGAUUAUUGUUUGCUGUUUCUUUUUAUCUCAUCAUUGGGGGUUUACUGCUUUCCUGCGUUGUACUUAUGGGUUUCUUCAUGGUUCUUCCUUGUUCAUGUACUCCUCCAAUAAAAUUAUUAUUUCUUCAUGAUUAAAACUGUCACCAUCCUCUGUGUGUUUGUCUUGAAUGUCCUUAUUAACUUUGUAAGUAAUAAAAGAUAUCUCUUCUUGUUGGUAAUCACUCACUUUAAGAACUUCAAAGGUGCCGGGCGGUGGUGGCGCACGCCUUUAAUCCCAGCACUCGGGAGGCAGAGGCAGGCAGAUCUCUGUGAGUUCGAGGCCAGCCUGGGCUACCAAGUGAGUCCCAGGAAAGGCGCAAAGCUACACAGAGAAACCCUGCCUCGAAAAACAAAACAAAACAAAAAAAAAAAAAAAAAAAAGAACUUCAAAGGUGAUAUUCUGUGCUUUUCUGGCUGUAAAGGGCUCCAGUGAGAGAUUUGGUGUUACUGGGAUGUUUGUCUUUGUAUUUGUGUUUUGUUCUGUUUUCUACUCUACAGCUCUUGAUAUUCUCCUUGAUUGUAUUUUUGAAGUCUUGAGCAUGCUAUGCGAUGGAGAGGUUCUUCUCUGUUCAUAUCUUCUUGGAAUUCUAAAUGCAUCUUGUAUUUGAAUCUUCAUUUCUUUCUCUAAACCUCAUAAAUGUCUGUUUUAAUUUCAUUGACUACAUUCUUAGUACCUUUAGUUUUUAAUCUCAGCUUCUUCUUCUUUUAAUACUUGGAUACUUAAGGUUUUGUUUAUCUUUUAAAAAAUUUAUUUAUUUCUGUAUUUGACAUCCUGGCCACAAUUUCCCUUCCCUCCUCUCAGUUCUCCCCCAUUCUGUUCCCACUGCCCAGUCCCCUCCCCCUCUGUUUCUGUCCAGGAAAGCACAGGUCUCCAUGAGUGUCAACAAAACAUGGCAUACCAAGUUGCAAUAAGACCAAGCACCUCUCCAUGUAUUAAGGCUGGACAAGGCAACCCAAUAUGAGGAGUAGUUAGUUCCCCAAAAGCCAGUAAAAAGUUGGAGAUGUCCCCUGUUCCCACUGUUAGGAGUCCCACAAGAGGACCAAGCUACAUAACUGUAACAUGUAUGCAGAGGGCCUAGGUCAGUCCCAUGCAGGCUCCCUGGUUGUGGGUUCAGUCUCUGUGAGCCCCUAUGAGCCCAAGUUAGUUGAUUCUGUGAGUUUUCUUAUUGUAUGCUUGACCCCUCUGGCUCCUACAAUCCUUUCUCCCCCUCUUCUGCAGGAUUCCCCGAGCUCCACCUCAUAUUUGUCUGAAUCUGGUUCUAUCAGUUGCUGGAUGAAGCCUCUCUGAUGACAAUUGGACUAGGCACCAAUCUGGUUACAGGAGAUGACCAGUUCAGGCCACAUAUUCCCUAUUGCUAGGAGUCUUACCUGGGGUCACCCUUGCAGAUUCCUGAAAAAUUCCCUGUGCCAGGUUUUUACCUGACCAGGAAAUGCCUCCCCUUUCUAGUAGUCUCUUUCAAUACUCUCCCCUCCCCCACAACCUGAUUGCUGGGGUUCACUUCACCACCUGCCCUCAGUCCACUCACAAAGUAUCUUCUAUUUCUCCUUCCUAGGGAGAUCUGGAUGCCCCUCCCCGCACCACCCCAUGAACCCUCCUUUUUAUUUAGUCUCUCUGGGUCUGUGGAUUGUAGCAUUGUUACCUGUUCAGGAAUAUUACUUUAACCGGGCAAAGAUAUGUUACAUUUGUUUCUGCUGCCUUUGUUAACAAUAUGAAGAUGUGUUACAUUUGUUUAUGUUGCAUUUGUUUAAUUAUGUAAAGAUGUAUUGCUGUUUGACCUUGCCUGCCUAAGGCAUCUGAUCAAUCUAGUAAAAAACUAGGAAUUUAUUGUUAAUUGUCUAAUGGAAAUCUUGAGUUCUCCAGACAGUGGCCCUCUUCAUCUAGGUCUCCAGCAAACAGCAUUUCCUUUUGUUUUCUCAAGUUUGAUAUUUAUUUAGGCUCCAAAUAUAAAUGAGAACAUGUAA
Peromyscus eremicus (cactus mouse) is the source of this 4940-nucleotide long non-coding RNA. RefSeq lists it as uncharacterized. The record is from RefSeq and is a predicted model, not a curated record. The transcript is spliced from 2 exons. NCBI's taxonomy places the organism in Eukaryota, Metazoa, Chordata, Mammalia, Rodentia, Cricetidae.